This 468-nucleotide ribosomal RNA is filed under the name uncultured bacterium. RNAcentral's name for it is "partial 16S ribosomal RNA". It matches the Rfam family "Bacterial small subunit ribosomal RNA", at positions 28 to 507 of the family's 1533-position model. The record is from RNAcentral.
GACGAACGCUGGCGGCGUGCUUAACACAUGCAAGUCGAACGGAAAGGCCCGGCGUUUGUGGGGUUCUCGAGUGGCGAACGGGUGAGUGACACGUGAGUAACCUGCCCUUGACUUUGGGAUAACUUCAGGAAACUGGGGCUAAUACCGGAUAGGAGCUCCUGCUGCAUGGUGGGGGAUGGAGAGUUUCGGCUGUGGGGGAUCGACUCGCGGCUUAUCAGCUUGUUUGGGUGGUAGUGGCUUACCAAGGCUUUGACGGGUAGGCGGCCUGAGAGGGUGAACGGCCACAAUGGGCCUGAGGUAGGGCCCAGACGGCAACGGGAGGCAGCAGUGGGGAAUAUUGCACAGCGGGCGGAAGCCUGAUGCAGAAACCCCGCGUGCGGGAUGACGGCCUUCGGGUUGUAAACCGCUUUCGCCUGUGACGAAGCGUGAGUGACGGUAAUGGGUAAAGAAGCACCGGCUAACUACGUG